CCUACGGGUGGCAGCAGUGAGGAAUAUUGGUCAAUGGACGAGAGUCUGAACCAGCCAAGUAGCGUGAAGGAUGACUGCCCUAUGGGUUGUAAACUUCUUUUAUAUGGGAAUAAAAUGUUCCACGUGUGGGAUUUUGUAUGUACCAUAUGAAUAAGGAUCGGCUAACUCCGUGCCAGCAGCCGCGGUAAUACGGAGGAUCCGAGCGUUAUCCGGAUUUAUUGGGUUUAAAGGGAGCGUAGGUGGAUUGUUAAGUCAGUUGUGAAAGUUUGCGGCUCAACCGUAAAAUUGCAGUUGAAACUGGCAGUCUUGAGUACAGUAGAGGUGGGCGGAAUUCGAGGUGUAGCGGUGAAAUGCUUAGAGAUCACGAAGAACUCCGAUUGCGAAGGCAGUUCACUGGACUGCAACUGACACUGAGGCUCGAAAGUGUGGGUAUCAAACAGGAUUAGAUACCCCAGUAGUC
Molecule: ribosomal RNA, 460 nt
Filed under: uncultured bacterium
Lineage: Bacteria
Description: partial 16S ribosomal RNA
Rfam family: Bacterial small subunit ribosomal RNA
Source: RNAcentral